Molecule: ribosomal RNA, 228 nt
Filed under: uncultured bacterium
Lineage: Bacteria
Description: partial 16S ribosomal RNA
Rfam family: Bacterial small subunit ribosomal RNA
Source: RNAcentral
GGACGAACGCUGGCGGCGUGCUUAACACAUGCAAGUCGAGCGGUAAGGCCCUUUACGGGGGUACCACGGAGCGGCGAACGGGUGAGUAACACGUGGUGACCUGCCCUUAGCUCUGGGAUAAGCCUGGGAAACUGGGUCUAAUACCGGAUAUGACUCCAUGACGCAUGUUGUGGGGUGGAAAGCCUUGUGGCGGCUAGGGAUGGGCCCGCGGCCUAUCAGCUUGUUGGU